Molecule: long non-coding RNA, 1749 nt
Organism: Carassius auratus (goldfish)
Lineage: Eukaryota; Metazoa; Chordata; Actinopteri; Cypriniformes; Cyprinidae
Exons: 3
Source: RefSeq, a predicted model, not a curated record
UCUCUCUCUCUCUAUCUCACACUCUCUCUCUCUCUGGGCCUGUUUCCACACUUUUCCAUCAGCACAGGUGAACAGGGUGAGUAUGAAACACUAUCGUGGGACUGACUGUGUUGAAAAUCCAGCCACUUCCAGAGCUGAACAGAACACCUUUUCUCCUCCAGUUGACUGGGAAAAACAGCAAAAGAAGAUUGAGAAAUCACUGGAAGGAGAUUGCAUUACCAGCAUUCACUCAUCGCUCUCAAACAAUGAACCCUGUACAGUAAGCUUCACAUGGACAUGGCCGUCAUGAGAAGAUAUAUGGAGGCAAUGCCUUGAGGCUUCCCAGCCCCCAUUGUGAGGACUGCCAGUUCUGUUUGGGUUCAUUGUUCUCGUCUAAUCAGCCAUGGCAAAUGUGAAGCCCUCCAGCUCAUUACGUAUUCGCACACAGAAGUGACCAUGGGAAGUUUUCGGAGGCCCAGCAUGAGCUGAUGAAUUACCUGCCUAGACAACACCUAGUGAAUCUGCACUGUUGCCGGGGCAGUGGUUUCUGACGGGACUGUCGACUCAUCGUUCAUCCUGGUGGUCAAACAACCCCCCCACUUCUCCAACCAGCUUGAGUUUCACUAUUGCCGUCUCGUCUUUCAGCACCUCUGCCCCCCUUCCACACACUCUGUGCUCUGUUUACAAACUUCUGCUAACGAUGGCCGCCCUGACGAGCUUAUACAAGGCCUGUUGGCAGUAGUGUCUGACAUUUAUCCUUCGUUUACCAGGACAAAAUGUGAUAUCAAACACUGAAAAAUAUAAUAUUCCUUAGACUUUAUUAACAGAUAAAAUUUACUCUUGCGUAAAAGCUCAUCUACCAUCUUCAUCAGUGGAUCUUAACUGGAUAGUUGGGACCUCAAAAUGGGUCACAAAUGUGUUCUAAUGGUAGACAGAAGAGGAAAAGGAUGCUAAAUCAAAUCAUAAAAUGCAGCUAACCCAAUAAUUGGUUGUAGUUAGGAUAAAUAAAUAAUUCUGGUCAGGGAAAACACUUUCCUAAUCUUUUGAUUCUGAUGCAAAUUUGUGAGGUUGUCGGGUCAGUAAUGGAUCAGUGACAUUGAGCAAUGUCCAUAAAUGAUAAAUAAAUGUUUUAAAAAUCUAGUUAAAAUGCAUGUGGCAAAUUUUUGCAUAUGUAUUCUAUUUAAACCUAAAUUCUAAAAAUUUCUAGAAAAUUUUACAUUUGAAUGACUAAAAUGUAAUGUAGUGUAACCAUCAAAUAAAAAGUAAUAACAUUUUAUUUACACCUUGAAUACAUCUUAGUGUACAACAUAUUGGGCAUUAUUUUCAAAAAGGUGUUUUAUUUUUAUGAGUACAACAACUUCACUGAUGAAGAGCCCUUUAAAAGGACAACUUUGUACCCCGAAAAUGUGCAGAUUAGUUUUUGUUUAUUUUAGAGUAGUAAUAUGUACUCUUAAAGUACCACUAUAAACCUUAAAGGAGUAGAUAAGGUACAAAGUUAUCUCUUUAAGGGUACCUAGGACAAGGGACAAGCUGUUGUACCCCUUUAUCAGAGAAUGCAGAAAUCAACAGCUUACUUUUGCACAAUACACAAUGUUGGAACUUUUUAGAACCACCUAUUAAAUGCACCAGCUUUAGAAAAUCACCUGCAUAUUUUUGGCUCUAGAGGUUGUUCUGGAGUUGGACAGGUUCUGUGACCACUGGGACCUUAUUUUAGUGAGUAGUAGGGGCGGCAGCUGCCAGUUGUAUAGGUUAACAUUACAAUAAUUUGAG